Molecule: ribosomal RNA, 468 nt
Filed under: uncultured bacterium
Lineage: Bacteria
Description: partial 16S ribosomal RNA
Rfam family: Bacterial small subunit ribosomal RNA
Source: RNAcentral
GACGAACGCUGGCGGCGUGCUUAACACAUGCAAGUCGAACGGAAAGGCCCUGCUUUUGUGGGGUGCUCGAGUGGCGAACGGGUGAGUAACACGUGAGUAACCUGCCCUUGACUUUGGGAUAACUUCAGGAAACUGGGGCUAAUACCGGAUAGGAGCUCCUGCUGCAUGGGGGGGGUUGGAAAGUUUCGGCGGUGGGGGAUGGACUCGCGGCUUAUCAGCUUGUGGGUGGGGUAGUGGCUUACCAAGGCUUUGACGGGUAGCCGGCCUGAGAGGGUGACCGGCCACCUUGGGCCUGCGAUACGGCCCAGACUCCUACGGGAGGCAGCAGUGGGGAAUAUUGCACAAUGGGCCGACGCCUGAUGCAGCAACGCCGCGUGCGGGAUGACGGCCUUCGGGUUGUAAACCGCUUUCGCCUGUGACGAAGCGUUAGUGACGGUAAUGGGUAAAGAAGCACCGGCUAACUACGUG